This 315-nucleotide unclassified non-coding RNA is filed under the name Hevea brasiliensis (rubber tree). Lineage: Eukaryota; Viridiplantae; Streptophyta; Magnoliopsida; Malpighiales; Euphorbiaceae. The record is from RNAcentral.
AGAAGAAGAAGAAGAAGAAAGGCACAAAAGAAAAGUGCCAAAGAAGAGGAAAAAAUGUAAGAAAAGAUGAAUGUUGAAAUGGGUAUCGCUCUUCAUCUCAUAUGUGAGACAUCUGAUUCCACAAAUUCCCACUUUCUUUCACCUUUCUUCCUUCCUUCCUUCUCUGAAACCUGAGGGAUUUUGGAGAAUGGGGAUUUCUUUUUUUCUUUUUUCUUUUCAGGAAAAUGCUCAAAUCCCUUCUUUGAGAUCUGAGCUUCAAAAAUGUGGGUGUGAAGAGAGAGAGAGAGAUAUAGGGAUUUAGAGAGUGGAGCGGAG